UCCCUCUAGCUCAGUUGGUGGAGUGCAAGACUCUUAACCUUGUGGUAAUGAGUUCAAACCCCAUGGUGGGAG
RNAcentral lists this transfer RNA (72 nucleotides) under Zea mays. It matches the Rfam family "tRNA". From Rfam's summary of the family: Transfer RNA (tRNA) molecules are approximately 80 nucleotides in length. Their secondary structure includes four short double-helical elements and three loops (D, anti-codon, and T loops). Further hydrogen bonds mediate the characteristic L-shaped molecular structure. tRNAs have two regions of fundamental functional importance: the anti-codon, which is responsible for specific mRNA codon recognition, and the 3' end, to which the tRNAs corresponding amino acid is attached (by aminoacyl-tRNA synthetases). tRNAs cope with the degeneracy of the genetic code in two manners: having more than one tRNA (with a specific anti-codon) for a particular amino acid; and 'wobble' base-pairing, i.e. permitting non-standard base-pairing at the 3rd anti-codon position. Lineage: Eukaryota; Viridiplantae; Streptophyta; Magnoliopsida; Poales; Poaceae. The record is from Rfam by way of RNAcentral.